AGAGAUGCAUUGGGCGUAAAGUGUGCGCAGGCGGUUUUGUAAGACAGAGGUGAAAUCCCCGGGCUCAACCUGGGAACUGCCUUAGUGACUGCAAGGCUGGAGUGCGGCAGAGGGGGAUGGAAUUCCGCGUGUAGCAGUGAAAUGCGUAGAUAUGCGGAGGAACACCGAUGGCGAAGGCAAUCCCCUGGGCCUGCACUGACGCUCAUGCACGAAAGCGUGGGGAGCAAACA
RNAcentral lists this ribosomal RNA (230 nucleotides) under uncultured Alicycliphilus sp. RNAcentral describes it as "partial 16S ribosomal RNA". It matches the Rfam family "Bacterial small subunit ribosomal RNA", at positions 548 to 774 of the family's 1533-position model. Lineage: Bacteria; Pseudomonadati; Pseudomonadota; Betaproteobacteria; Burkholderiales; Comamonadaceae. The record is from RNAcentral.